UCCAUGCACUGUGACUAAAUUGUGAGUUGUUUAGCCAUUCUAUCUUUAAGCAAUUAACCUAAAGAUUUUUCAUUGUCUUGAGCUACUUGGAAGAAGCACAGCUCCAGCUGGAGGGAAGGUAGCUGUCCUGUGACGUGAAGACCUGUGUUUGAAUCCCAAGAAAGCACGUCAGUCGAUCUGUGAUCUAUAACCUCAACGAUCCAAUGUCAAGGUGUAAAGAAGAGUUCUUAUACAGGUCAAAGGUGCCUGCUUUGGACAACUGACAAUGGCCUAGCCCGCCUCAUGUCAAUCAGUAAUCAAGAGAAUGCCCCACAGACAUGCCAACAGACCAACCUGAUAGAUCUGACUCCUCAGCAGAGGUUCUGUUCUCCAAGAGCUGAUGACUGUCAGAAUAGCCACCAGGCUCCACAGGACCUUCAUCGCCAGCUUUGCUGACUGCUACACAACCAAGAAGAUUGGAGAUGAUUAAAGGAGCAGUUGUGGAGUUGAGCCUUGCCGAUUAUUGUGGAAGACUGGAGACUCAGACUGAUGGAGUGUUUCUAAAACUAGGUGUGUGGUCUACUUGUACCCAGGCUACCAAUAUGCUCCCAGGGCAAGAUGGCUGCUGUGUUUGCCACUAACAGAGGCCAUUUUAAUGGUCACUGAACAGUAAAUCUCAAGUUGUGGACUUACAUGUUAGUGAUGGCUUUGACAUUAAAGUAAAUGCAUUCCUAAUUGAA
Mus musculus (house mouse) is the source of this 719-nucleotide long non-coding RNA. RefSeq annotates it as predicted gene, 39920. The transcript is spliced from 3 exons. The record is from RefSeq and is a predicted model, not a curated record. Lineage: Eukaryota; Metazoa; Chordata; Mammalia; Rodentia; Muridae.